AAUGGGGGAUAACUAGUCGAAAGAUUGGCUAAUACCGCAUACGCCCUGAGGGGGAAAGCUGGGGAUCUUCGGACCUAGCGUUAAUGGAGCGGCCGAUAUCGGAUUAGCUAGUUGGUGGGGUAAAGGCCUACCAAGGCGACGAUCCGUAGCUGGUCUGAGAGGACGACCAGCCACACUGGAACUGAGACACGGUCCAGACUCCUACGGGAGGCAGCAGUGGGGAAUUUUGGACAAUGGGGGCAACCCUGAUCCAGCCAUUCCGCGUGAGUGAAGAAGGCCUUCGGGUUGUAAAGCUCUUUCGCAAGGGAAGAAACGUUACGAGCGCAUAACUCGUGAUAAUGACGGUACCUUGAUAAGAAGCACCGGCUAACUACGUGCCAGCAGCCGCGGUAAUACGUAGGGUGCGAGCGUUAAUCGGAAUUACUGGGCGUAAAGCGUGCGCAGGCGGUUUGAAAAGUCAGAUGUGAAAUCCCCGGGCUCAACCUGGGAACUGCGUUUGAAACUCUCAAGCUAGAAUAGGUCAGAGGGGGGUAGAAUUCCACGUGUAGCAGUGAAAUGCGUAGAGAUGUGGAGGAAUACCAAUGGCGAAGGCAGCCCCCUGGGAUCAUAUUGACGCUCAUGCACGAAAGCGUGGGGAGCAAACAGGAUUAGAUACCCUGGUAGUCCGCGCCCUAAACGAUGUCUACUAGUUGUUGGUGGAGUAAAAUCCAUGAGUAACGCAGCUAACGCGUGAAGUAGACC
Molecule: ribosomal RNA, 741 nt
Filed under: uncultured beta proteobacterium
Lineage: Bacteria; Pseudomonadati; Pseudomonadota; Betaproteobacteria
Description: bacterial SSU rRNA
Rfam family: Bacterial small subunit ribosomal RNA
Source: RNAcentral